Molecule: non-coding RNA, 508 nt
Organism: Petromyzon marinus (sea lamprey)
Lineage: Eukaryota; Metazoa; Chordata; Hyperoartia; Petromyzontiformes; Petromyzontidae
Source: RefSeq, a predicted model, not a curated record
UUGGCCCCGCUGCCCGUGGUGGUUACCUGGGGCCCCUUUGCCUGUGCGCUGCGUAGAGUUGCCCCUGCUGCCCGUGGUGGUUACCUGGGUGCCCCUUUGCCUCUACCACUACUAAGAGCACUUGCCCCCGCUGCGCGUGGUGGUUACCUGGGGCCCCUUUGCCUGUGCGCUGCGUAGAGUUGCCCCUGCUGCCCGCCGUCUGCGAGUGCCAGGGCAGUGCCGUGGACUGCGACGGCGUCGGACUCCAUGCCGUGCCGAUCGUCGCGCACAACGCCACCCUCAUAUCUCUGAACAGUAACUUCAUCAGUCGCCUGCCGGACUUCUCCUUCCGGGCACACGGUCAGCUGCAGAAGCUGUGCCUGCAGAACAACGCGAUCCGCCAGGUGGGCCUCAACGCACUCCGAGGACUCCACAGCCUCAAGUUCCUGUACCUGAGUGAGAACCACAUCUCAUCGCUAAGAGCCGGAGUGUUCAGGGACCUGGGCCGACUCGAAUGGCUGUGAGGGAC